Molecule: ribosomal RNA, 486 nt
Filed under: uncultured bacterium
Lineage: Bacteria
Description: partial 16S ribosomal RNA
Rfam family: Bacterial small subunit ribosomal RNA
Source: RNAcentral
GACGAACGCUGGCGGCGUGCUUAACACAUGCAAGUCGAACGCUGAAGGCUUGGCUUUUGUUGGGAUGGGUGAGUGGCGAACAGGUGAGUAACACGUGAGUAACCUGCCCUACUCUUUGGGAUAACGCACAGAAACGGGUGCUAAUACCGGAUAUUCACUGCUGUUCGCAUGGGGGUUGGCGGCAGGGUUUGUUCUGGUGGGGGAUGGGCCCGCGGACUAUCAGCUUGUUGGUGGGGUGAUGGCGUAGCAAGGCUUUGACGGGUAGACGGCCUGAGAGGUUGACCGGUCACGUUGAGAAUGAGAUACGGUCCGGACUCCUACGGGAGGCAGCAGUGGGGGAUAUUGCACAAUGGGCGAAAGCCUGAUGCAGCGACGCCGCGUGGGGGAUGGGGGCCGUCGGGGUGUAAGCCUCAUUCGCUCAUGAUCAAGCCGCAACGGGGGGUUGUGGUGAGGGUAGUGGGUAAAGAAGCGCCGGCUAACUACGUG